UACGUAGGGUGCGAGCGUUGUCCGGAAUUACUGGGCGUAAAGAGCUCGUAGGCGGUCUGUCGCGUCUGCUGUGAAAACUCGGGGCUUAACCCCGGGCCUGCAGUGGGUACGGGCAGACUAGAGUGCGGUAGGGGAGACUGGAAUUCCUGGUGUAGCGGUGAAAUGCGCAGAUAUCAGGAGGAACACCGGUGGCGAAGGCGGGUCUCUGGGCCGUAACUGACGCUGAGGAGCGAAAGCAUGGGGAGCGAACAGG
Molecule: ribosomal RNA, 253 nt
Filed under: uncultured bacterium
Lineage: Bacteria
Description: partial 16S ribosomal RNA
Rfam family: Bacterial small subunit ribosomal RNA
Source: RNAcentral